UAGGCCAGCUGAUCUCAAUGCCGCGUGCAGGAAGAAGCCUUCGGGUUGUAAACUGCUUUUGUACGGAGCGAAAAGGCACUCUCUAAUACAGGGGGCCGAUGACGGUACCGUAAGAAUAAGCACCGGCUAACUACGUGCCAGCAGCCGCGGUAAUACGUAGGGUGCGAGCGUUAAUCGGAAUUACUGGGCGUAAAGCGUGCGCAGGCGGUUAUACAAGACAGGCGUGAAAUCCCCGGGCUUAACCUGGGAAUGGCGCCUGUGACUGUAUGGCUAGAGUGUGUCAGAGGGGGGUAGAAUUCCACGUGUAGCAGUGAAAUGCGUAGAUAUGUGGAGGAAUACCAAUGGCGAAGGCAGCCCCCUGGGAUAACACUGACGCUCAUGCACGAAAGCGUGGGGAGCAAACAGGAUUAGAUACCCUGGUAGUCCACGCCCUAAACGAUGCUGACUAGUUGUUCGGGAUUUACAUCCUGAGUAACGUAGCUAACGCGUGAAGUCAGCCGCCUGGGGAGUACGGUCGCAAGAUUAAAACUCAAAGGAA
Molecule: ribosomal RNA, 538 nt
Filed under: uncultured bacterium
Lineage: Bacteria
Description: bacterial SSU rRNA
Rfam family: Bacterial small subunit ribosomal RNA
Source: RNAcentral